RNAcentral lists this ribosomal RNA (490 nucleotides) under uncultured bacterium. RNAcentral's name for it is "partial 16S ribosomal RNA". It matches the Rfam family "Bacterial small subunit ribosomal RNA", at positions 29 to 507 of the family's 1533-position model. The record is from RNAcentral.
AGUGAACGCUGGCGGCAGGCCUAACACAUGCAAGUCGAACGGCAGCACAAGAGAGCUUGCUCUCUGGGUGGCGAGUGGCGGACGGGUGAGGAAUGCAUCGGAAUCUGCCCAUUUGUGGGGGAUAACCUCGGGAAACCGGGACUAAUACCGCAUACGACCUACGGGUGAAAGCAGGGGAUCUUCGGACCUUGCGCAGAUGGAUGAGCCGAUGCCGGAUUAGCUAGUUGGAGGGGUAAAGGCCCACCAAGGCGACGAUCCGUAGCUGGUCUGAGAGGAUGAUCAGCCACACUGGGACUGAGACACGGCCCAGACUCCUACGGGAGGCAGCAGUGGGGAAUAUUGGACAAUGGGCGCAAGCCUGAUCCAGCCAUGCCGCGUGUGUGAAGAAGGCCUUCGGGUUGUAAAGCACUUUUGUUGGGAAAGAAAAGCAGCCGGUUAAUACCCGGUUGUCAUGACAGUACCCAAAGAAUAAGCACCGGCUAACUUCGUG